AACAUCGCGCACCUGCGGGAACCUGCGGAGGGAUCAUUAAUGAUUGGUGGCUGUUGCUGACUAGUGUUUCUAGUAUGUGCACGCCACACCUUCAAUCCCACUUACACCUGUGCACCCUCUGUAAUAGAUCUAUGUGGAUACGGAGAUAUGAAAGUUUGCGCUCUCGUACUCUGUUGAAGCAGUCUACUACGUUUUUUUACACACACACAAUAGUCAUUGAAUGUAUUUUUUAUUCUUAUG
This 240-nucleotide unclassified non-coding RNA is filed under the name soil metagenome. Its description in RNAcentral is "partial contains 5.8S ribosomal RNA, internal transcribed spacer 2, and large subunit ribosomal RNA". The record is from RNAcentral.